GACGAACGCUGGCGGCGUGCUUAACACAUGCAAGUCGAACGGAAAGGCCCUGCUUUUGUGGGGUGCUCGAGUGGCGAACGGGUGAGUAACACGUGAGUAACCUGCCCUUGACUUUGGGAUAACUUCAGGAAACUGGGGCUAAUACCGGAUAGGAGCUCCUGCUGCAUGGUGGGGGUUGGAAAGUUUCGGCGGUUGGGGAUGGACUCGCGGCUUAUCAGCUUGUUGGUGGGGUAGUGGCUUACCAAGGCUUUGACGGGUAGCCGGCCUGAGAGGGUGACCGGCCCCAAUGGGACCGGAAUAACGCCCCAACGCCCAAGGGGAGCCAGAGGGGGGAAAUAUACAAAAAGGGCCGAAAACUGAUGGCGGGACCGCGGGUGGCGGAUGAACGCCUUUCGGUUUUAAACCGGCUUUGCCCGUUAACGAAGCUGAGUGACCGUAAAUGGUAAAGAAGCACCGGCUAACUACGUG
Molecule: ribosomal RNA, 468 nt
Filed under: uncultured bacterium
Lineage: Bacteria
Description: partial 16S ribosomal RNA
Rfam family: Bacterial small subunit ribosomal RNA
Source: RNAcentral